This 454-nucleotide ribosomal RNA is filed under the name uncultured Allobrachymonas sp. Its description in RNAcentral is "bacterial SSU rRNA". It matches the Rfam family "Bacterial small subunit ribosomal RNA", at positions 923 to 1382 of the family's 1533-position model. The record is from RNAcentral. Lineage: Bacteria; Pseudomonadati; Pseudomonadota; Betaproteobacteria; Burkholderiales; Comamonadaceae.
GCACAAGCGGUGGAUGAUGUGGAUUAAUUCGAUGCAACGCGAAAAACCUUACCUACCCUUGACAUGUCCGGAAUCCCGAAGAGAUUGGGAGUGCUCGAAAGAGAACCUGCACACAGGUGCUGCAUGGCUGUCGUCAGCUCGUGUCGUGAGAUGUUGGGUUAAGUCCCGCAACGAGCGCAACCCUUGCCAUUAGUUGCUACGAAAGGGCACUCUAAUGGGACUGCCGGUGACAAGCCGGAGGAAGGUGGGGAUGACGUCAAGUCCUCAUGGCCCUUAUAGGUGGGGCUACACACGUCAUACAAUGGCCGGUACAGAGGGUAGCCAACCCGCGAGGGGGAGCCAAUCCCACAAAGCCGGUCGUAGUCCGGAUCGCAGUCUGCAACUCGACUGCGUGAAGUCGGAAUCGCUAGUAAUCGCGGAUCAGCAUGUCGCGGUGAAUACGUUCCCGGGUCUU